GGAGAAGAACGCGUUUUACACCUUCAUUACUCAACUUUCUAGGAUCUGAGCUGUGUGCUUUCACCGACGGUCUUCUUUUUCUCCUUCGUUUGCUUCAGCUAGCAAUUAUGGUUCCACCUAUCGAAACUCAAGUCAAGUCUUCAGUGUCUCAUAAGUUCUCAAUUCCACCACUUAAUGAAAGAAUACUCUCUUCUAUGACACGGAGAUCAGUUGCAGCUCAUCCUUG
RNAcentral lists this unclassified non-coding RNA (226 nucleotides) under Hevea brasiliensis (rubber tree). The record is from RNAcentral. Lineage: Eukaryota; Viridiplantae; Streptophyta; Magnoliopsida; Malpighiales; Euphorbiaceae.